UAUAAGCUGUCACAUAACUCGACUGCUAUGC
This 31-nucleotide non-coding RNA is filed under the name Rattus norvegicus (Norway rat). Lineage: Eukaryota; Metazoa; Chordata; Mammalia; Rodentia; Muridae. The record is from RNAcentral.